AACAUCGCAGUUUGUAAAAUUAAUAACGUCAUGAAAACACUAGUGUUCAUUUCAAUCAAUAGUGCAAUUCAAUCAAUCUAAUUAGAAAAGCGUGACUGAAAAAGACUCAAUUAUUGAGGAAGUAAAAAAAAACAAAAUUUGAACUAUUGGAAAAUGAAAACUGAUAGUUUCUGCAAAUCCAAAACAGCAUAAAUUUGAGAUAGGAAAAAGCAAGUGUCAGCUAACGAAUGGGCCCCGAGAUAAUUGCGAAACUAUAGCAGCGACAUGUGGGGACAUUUGUAAGAGCAAGAUACGACCGUGCCAGGUAGGCGGCCGCAACUCGUACUAUUGCGUCGGCCCCGCUAAUGGUUCGCUUUAAUUAAAUAAAACCUCUUUUUAUA
Dendroctonus ponderosae (mountain pine beetle) is the source of this 380-nucleotide long non-coding RNA. RefSeq lists it as uncharacterized. NCBI's taxonomy places the organism in Eukaryota, Metazoa, Arthropoda, Insecta, Coleoptera, Curculionidae. The transcript is spliced from 2 exons. The record is from RefSeq and is a predicted model, not a curated record.